Molecule: ribosomal RNA, 303 nt
Filed under: uncultured bacterium
Lineage: Bacteria
Description: partial 16S ribosomal RNA
Rfam family: Bacterial small subunit ribosomal RNA
Source: RNAcentral
AGCAGCCGCCGCGGUAAUACGAAGGGUGCAAGCGUUAAUCGGAAUUACUGGGCGUAAAGCGUGCGUAGGCGGUGAGUUAAGUCUGCUGUGAAAUCCCCGGGCUCAACUUGGGAAUGGCAGUGGAUACUGGCUCGCUAGAGUGUGUCGGAGGAUGGUGGAAUUCCCGGUGUAGCGGUGAAAUGCGUAGAGAUCGGGAGGAACAUCAGUGGCGAAGGCGGCCAUCUGGGACAACACUGACGCUGAGGCACGAAAGCGUGGGGAGCAAACAGGAUUAGAUACCCGCGUAGUCCCUGUCUCUUAUAC